UGAGUACGAGAUGCUACGGCAUCGAAGCAGUCUAUGUCAUACUUCCAAGAAAAGCUUGCACUGUCAUAAACAAAGAACGCCUGUACCAUAACCGACACAGGUGGGUAGGUAGAGUAUACUAAGGGGCGCGAGAUAACUCUCUCUAAGGAACUCGGCAAAAUGACUCCGUAACUUCGGGAGAAGGAGUGCCUUAUUUCUAAGGUUGCAAUAACAAGAUCCAAGCAACUGUUUACCAAAAACACAGGUCUCCGCUAAGUCGUAAGACGAUGUAUGGGGGCUGACGCCUGCCCAGUGCCAGAAGGUUAAAGAAGUUGGUUAGCAUUAGCGAAGCUGAUAACUGAAGCCCUGGUGAACGGCGGCCGUAACGAUAACGGUCCUAAGGUAGCGAAAUUCCUUGUCGGGUAAGUUCCGACCCGCACGAAAGGCGUAAUGAUUUGGAUACUGUCUCGGAGAGGGGCUCGGUGAAAUAGACUUGUCUGUGAAGAUGCGGACUACCUGCACCUGGACAGAAAGACCCUAUGAAGCUUUACUGUAACUUGAGAUUGAAAUUGGACUUUAUUUGCGCAGUAUAGGUGGGAGGCGUUGAGAAUAAUCUUGCGGGAUUGUUGGAGCCAUCAGUGAGAUACCACUCUUGUAAUGUUAGAUUUCUAACUUUGUAUCAUUAUCUGGUCAAAGAACAGUUUCAGGCGGGCAGUUUGACUGGGGCGGUCGCCUCCCAAAGGGUAACGGAGGCGCACAAAGGUUUCCUCUGAACGGGUAGAAAUCGUAUCUAGAGUGUAAAGGCAUACGGAAGCUUGACUGUGAGACCUACAAGUCGAGCAGGGACGAAAGUCGGUCUUAGUGAUCUGACGGUGCUGAGUGGAAAGGCCGUCACUCAACGGAUAAAAGUUACUCUAGGAUAACAGGCUGAUCUCCCCCAAGAGUUCACAUCGACGGGGAGGUUUGGCACCUCGAUGUCGGCUCAUCGCAUCCUGGGGCGGUAGUCCGUCCCAAGGGUUGGGCUGUUCGCCCAUGAAAGCGGUACGCGAGCUGGGUUCAGAACGUCGUGAGACAGUUCGGUCCAUAUCCGGUGUAGGCGUUAGAAUAUUGAGAGGAGCCUUCUCUAGUACGAGAGGACCGAGAAGGACAUACCUCUGGUGUACCAGUUAUCGUGCCAACGGUAAACGCUGGGUAGCUAUGCAUGGAGUGGAUAACCGCUGAAAGCAUCUAAGUGGGAAGCCCACCUCAAGAUAAG
RNAcentral lists this ribosomal RNA (1234 nucleotides) under metagenome. RNAcentral describes it as "bacterial LSU rRNA". It matches the Rfam family "Bacterial large subunit ribosomal RNA", at positions 1564 to 2808 of the family's 2925-position model. The record is from RNAcentral.